UUUUGUAAGCAAGCCUAAUAUUUUAGUAGGCAAAGUUAAAGCGAAAAACAUUAAGUGUGUUUAUAGUUUGCAAAAAAAUACCCGAAACAAAGCGAUCUAGCCAAGGUCCUGCUUUUUUGGCUCAACUCGUGUUUGUUGCAAUAAACUGGGGUGAACUUUGGUUAGGGGUGAAAAGCCAAUCGAGCUUUGAGAUAGCUGGUUUUUUGCGAAAGCUAUUUAGGUAGUGCCUUCUUUUAGUUUUGCAGAGGUAAAGCACUCUUUUAGUUGGGGGGCAUUUUGUUACUUCACUUUUGGAAACUCUGAAUGCUGCAUUUUUUUUUUGAAGAGUCAGACACUUGGCGCGAAGGUCUUUUGUCUAGAGGGAAACAGCCCAGAUUGUUUUUUAAGGUCCCUAAGGUAUUGUAAGUUUAAGGCUUUGUACUUUUUUAAUAUUUGUUUUUUACAGCAAGGAUGUAGGCUUGGAAGCAGCCAUCAUUUUUAGAAAGCGUAAAAGCUCACUUGCUUAUUUAUAGAUAAAAAAAGCCGAAAAUUCAAAGGGUUUUUUAAAUACCACCGAAAAUGCAAGUUAGAAUUUUUUUAUUUUUGCGGUAGCAAAACGCUUUGUUUCUCGUAGAAGAUAAGUUGAAAAACUUUUUGAAGAGCUCAAAGUUGCUUAUACUAGGAUGAGUAACGAAAAAUUUGGUGUCGAAUCCAAAUCACUUAAAGCC
This 707-nucleotide ribosomal RNA is filed under the name Chrysoculter rhomboideus. RNAcentral describes it as "partial Bacterial large subunit ribosomal RNA". It matches the Rfam family "Bacterial large subunit ribosomal RNA", at positions 632 to 1345 of the family's 2925-position model. The record is from RNAcentral. Lineage: Eukaryota; Haptophyta.